CCUCUGUUGUAAAAUAAUGAGAACUAAUAACACUUUUAUAUACCUUGUAGGGAUUCAGCGAGAAUGAAAGCCCUUUUCCUCUUUCAUGGAUAAGAUGCUACAACUCAAUCUUGUCAUCUCUGCUCACCCGUCAGGAGAAAGUGUGGUGAAAUGGACAGAGGCUGUCUCUUAAUUCCACAAAAUCCUGGAACUGUAUUACAGUAUAUAGCAACACCACUGAAGCAUUUGAGCUACUGAAAGUCCAUGCGUGUUUCAAACAACAAUAUUUGGAGAAAGAUUCAAGAAUCACAAGCCAGGGUAAAGGAUCAUCGCUGAGAAAACAGUGCGCAGACCCGAUGCAAACCAGAGCAAGAUUCUUCCUCUUUCUGUCUUCCAGUCUCUCUGGCGCCUCCUGUUGAAGGCUGGAGAUAAAACAGAAACCUGACCUGGAGGAUCAUAACCCCAGCACCACAAAGAAGAGGGGGAAUUUUUGGGUAGGAUAUAAUAGCUUAAUCAUUAACAUCAUUGGGGAAAUUGGAGCCUUGACUUUAUAUAUGACCAGGAGAAUUUACAAAGACACCUUAGGAGUUAAAAGAUAUUGUAGUACAAAGUUGUUUGAAUACCACGGAAGCCUGACACAUUGAAUAAAAUGAUUUCAAACAAAAUAAUGUAGGUAAAUCACUGCAGAAUUAUAAAGUGCCAUGCAAGUGUACAAAAUUAGUGUUGUUAUUGUUGGUACUAUAAUUUCACUCUUAACUAUAAUAGAUAUUUGAUCAAAGAAACUUUAUAAAGGCUAAAAUAGUUGUGAGAUAAAUUAUGGAAAGAUGUUUACCAAGUUUAGAU
Molecule: long non-coding RNA, 822 nt
Filed under: Chinchilla lanigera (long-tailed chinchilla)
Lineage: Eukaryota; Metazoa; Chordata; Mammalia; Rodentia; Chinchillidae
Description: lncRNA (ENSCLAG00000024524.1)
Source: RNAcentral